CAGUAAAUCUGUAUUUCUAAGUCAGUAUCUCCCUUCAGAAAUGUGGCUGAAGGGAGAUACUGACUUAGAAAUACAGCUGAACUCAUGAAAAGAAGCUCAUGAAACACAUUAAUAUGCCUUUUUCAGAAUAUAUUUCACCAAAUUUAAGAAGUCCCUGACAUCAAAACAUGGCUUGUUUUGUUCCUGGACUCUUCAGUGAUGAUGAGCAGAGUCUGAGUGAACCUGCUGUCAGACAAUGACUAUUGCACACCAAAUGCUCUUACUCAGCAGAUGGGGACAGCUACCAUCACCCAAUUUUCACCCAAAAGUGGCUGCGCUAUUCGCCAGACCGGGCAGGAGGGACUGGACGACAACUUAUGCAGGCAUCAGAUGACAAUGAAGUGUAAAUAAAGAGUAGAGAGGCUAAUAAACAGGAAUUUGAUUUUAAA
Molecule: long non-coding RNA, 428 nt
Organism: Carassius auratus (goldfish)
Lineage: Eukaryota; Metazoa; Chordata; Actinopteri; Cypriniformes; Cyprinidae
Exons: 4
Source: RefSeq, a predicted model, not a curated record